AGGCAUUGGAGAAUUAUUUCAGUUAUUCUGACAACUUAUAUAAAUAUAUAAUUUAUUACUGUUAUAAUAAAGAUAUGAAUUAGGAAAUAUCUAAUAUAUUAUUACACGUACUUUUUGUUCUGUAGAAAUAUUUUAGUAGGUGAUUUCAUCAUUGGUAUUCCAAGCGAUACUUAUCAGUUUACAAAGUGUCGUACAAAAGAGGUACUAAAAUGUCAUUAAGUCACAGGCCAUAUCUUCGCUCAGGUCUGGCUCGGACUCUCUACGAUCGAAUGAUGAAAGAGGAGGAACUGAAAAGCUUGGACAAAUCUCAGUGGUAUCGGUGCCGGUUGGAGCAAGUGUGUCCGCAGAUACGAGAUUUGUUUCUUCAGUGUCAUCCAGACGAAGACAGCCUUGCUUUUCUUCACAACUCCUAUAAAAGAUCAGAUUGGUUGUUUACUCAGUUGUUUCAUGUGUUGGCGAAAGCCGUUUUAUGCUGGUUUAUGACUCGCACGUCACUUAAUG
Molecule: long non-coding RNA, 501 nt
Organism: Limulus polyphemus (Atlantic horseshoe crab)
Lineage: Eukaryota; Metazoa; Arthropoda; Merostomata; Xiphosura; Limulidae
Exons: 3
Source: RefSeq, a predicted model, not a curated record